AUGAUUCUCGACAGGAUGAUUGUUAAGAGGAUAAUGAGAUGGAGUUUUCCACCUUAUUCAAUCGCCAAGGAGACGUUAACCACAUCAUGUGUUGUUCGAUGUUAGGGUAACCCGUUGCAGAGACGACCCAUUUGUUUCCAUCCAUCUCCCGUUAGAGGACAGUGGCCCUACAACGGUGAUUAUGAGAGAUUCGUGGUUUCUUAAGAAGGCGGUAGCUCCAGGAGGCAGAAAGAUUGAAUUGAUCCCUAGUUAUGGCAAUCAUGUAGCUUUGAAACUAUGGGAUGAGAUGUUGAUGAGCCUCCAUCGUUGUUCCAUGGUGUGAUAUGUUUGUUUGGAUUAGAUUUAGCUUGCCAUUAUGCUUAACAUAUAAUUUUCAAACAUUUAUGUUUCUGUUAAUUGUAUGGACAGUACUUAUAUGAUUUUGUUCCUCAUUCAUUACUCAUGCGAUU
This 449-nucleotide long non-coding RNA is filed under the name Linum usitatissimum (flax). RNAcentral describes it as "long non-coding RNA (LUSI_LNC007145)". Lineage: Eukaryota; Viridiplantae; Streptophyta; Magnoliopsida; Malpighiales; Linaceae. The record is from RNAcentral.